AGGAAAUUAGUUUAACUAAAAUAUUUGAUUUCGGCUCAAAAGCUUAUGGUUAAAGUCCAUAAUUUACCU
Molecule: transfer RNA, 69 nt
Filed under: Aeoliscus strigatus (razorfish)
Lineage: Eukaryota; Metazoa; Chordata; Actinopteri; Syngnathiformes; Centriscidae
Description: tRNA-Arg
Rfam family: tRNA
About the family: Transfer RNA (tRNA) molecules are approximately 80 nucleotides in length. Their secondary structure includes four short double-helical elements and three loops (D, anti-codon, and T loops).
Source: RNAcentral